CAGGGAUUGCCCUAGUAACGGCGAGUGAAGCGGCAACAGCUCAAAUUUGAAAGCUGGCUCCGGCCCGCGUUGUAAUUUGCAGAGGAUGCUUCUGGCAAGGUGCCUUCCGAGUUCCCUGGAACGGGACGCCAUAGAGGGUGAGAGCCCCGUAUGGAUGGACACCAAGCCUGUGUGAAGCUCCUUCAACGAGUCGAGUAGUUUGGGAAUGCUGCUCUAAAUGGGAGGUAAAUCUCUUCUAAAGCUAAAUACCGGCCAGAGACCGAUAGCGCACAAGUAGAGUGAUCGAAAGAUGAAAAGCACCUUGAAAAGGGGGUUAAACAGUACGUGAAAUUGUUGAAAGGGAAGCGCUUGUGACCAGACUUGCGCCGGGCGGCUCAUCAGGGGUUCUCCCCUGUGCACUCCGCCCGGCUCAGGCCAGCAUCGGUUCUCGUGGGAGGAUAAGAACGGUGGGAACGUGGCCCCCCUCCGGGGGGGUGUUAUAGCCCACCGUACGAUACUCUCGUGGGGACCGAGGUUCGCGCUCCGCAAGGAUGCUGGCGUAAUGGUCAUCAGCGACCCGUCUUGAAACACGGACCAAGGAGUCGUCCAUUAGAGCGAGCGUUUGGGUGUAAAACCCGCACGCGUAAUGAAAGUGAACGCAGGUGAGAGCUUCGGCGCAUCAUCGACCGAUCCUGAUGUCUUCGGAUGGAUUUGAGUAAGAGUUUUAACGGACGGACCCGAAAGACAGUGAACUAUGCUUGUAUAGGGUGAAGCCAGAGGAAACUCUGGUGGAGGCUCGCAGCGGUUCUGACGUGCAAAUCGAUCGUCAAAUAUGAGCAUGGGGGCGAAAGACUAAU
This 836-nucleotide ribosomal RNA is filed under the name Valsaceae sp. Its description in RNAcentral is "partial large subunit ribosomal RNA". It matches the Rfam family "Eukaryotic large subunit ribosomal RNA", at positions 69 to 935 of the family's 3401-position model. The record is from RNAcentral. Lineage: Eukaryota; Fungi; Ascomycota; Sordariomycetes; Diaporthales; Cytosporaceae.